ACUAAGCGUACACGGUGGAUGCCCUGGCAGUCAGAGGCGAUGAAGGACGUGCUAAUCUGCGAUAAGCGUCGGUAAGGUGAUAUGAACCGUUAUAACCGGCGAUUUCCGAAUGGGGAAACCCAGUGUGAUUCGUCACACUAUCAUUAACUGAAUCCAUAGGUUAAUGAGGCGAACCGGGGGAACUGAAACAUCUAAGUACCCCGAGGAAAAGAAAUCAACCGAGAUUCCCCCAGUAGCGGCGAGCGAACGGGGAGCAGCCCAGAGCCUGAAUCAGUAUGUGUGUUAGUGGAAGCGUCUGGAAAGGCGCGCGAUACAGGGUGACAGCCCCGUACACAAAAAUGCACAUGCUGUGAGCUCGAUGAGUAGGGCGGGACACGUGGUAUCCUGUCUGAAUAUGGGGGGACCAUCCUCCAAGGCUAAAUACUCCUGACUGACCGAUAGUGAACCAGUACCGUGAGGGAAAGGCGAAAAGAACCCCGGCGAGGGGAGUGAAAAAGAACCUGAAACCGUGUACGUACAAGCAGUGGGAGCACAGAGCAAUCUGUGUGACUGCGUACCUUUUGUAUAAUGGGUCAGCGACUUAUAUUCUGUAGCAAGGUUAACCGAAUAGGGGAGCCGAAGGGAAACCGAGUCUUAACUGGGCGUUAAGUUGCAGGGUAUAGACCCGAAACCCGGUGAUCUAGCCAUGGGCAGGUUGAAGGUUGGGUAACACUAACUGGAGGACCGAACCGACUAAUGUUGAAAAAUUAGCGGAUGACUUGUGGCUGGGGGUGAAAGGCCAAUCAAACCGGGAGAUAGCUGGUUCUCCCCGAAAGCUAUUUAGGUAGCGCCUCGUGAAUUCAUCUCCGGGGGUAGAGCACUGUUUCGGCAAGGGGGUCAUCCCGACUUACCAACCCGAUGCAAACUGCGAAUACCGGAGAAUGUUAUCACGGGAGACACACGGCGGGUGCUAACGUCCGUCGUGAAGAGGGAAACAACCCAGACCGCCAGCUAAGGUCCCAAAGUCAUGGUUAAGUGGGAAACGAUGUGGGAAGGCCCAGACAGCCAGGAUGUUGGCUUAGAAGCAGCCAUCAUUUAAAGAAAGCGUAAUAGCUCACUGGUCGAGUCGGCCUGCGCGGAAGAUGUAACGGGGCUAAACCAUGCACCGAAGCUGCGGCAGCGACGCUGAUGCGUUGUUGGGUAGGGGAGCGUUCUGUAAGCCUGUGAAGGUGUGCUGUGAGGCAUGCUGGAGGUAUCAGAAGUGCGAAUGCUGACAUAAGUAACGAUAAAGCGGGUGAAAAGCCCGCUCGCCGGAAGACCAAGGGUUCCUGUCCAACGUUAAUCGGGGCAGGGUGAGUCGACCCCUAAGGCGAGGCCGAAAGGCGUAGUCGAUGGGAAACAGGUUAAUAUUCCUGUACUUGGUGUUACUGCGAAGGGGGGACGGAGAAGGCUAUGUUGGCCGGGCGACGGUUGUCCCGGUUUAAGCGUGUAGGCUGGUUUUCCAGGCAAAUCCGGAAAACUAAGGCUGAGGCGUGAUGACGAGGCACUACGGUGCUGAAGCAACAAAUGCCCUGCUUCCAGGAAAAGCCUCUAAGCAUCAGGUAACAUCAAAUCGUACCCCAAACCGACACAGGUGGUCAGGUAGAGAAUACCAAGGCGCUUGAGAGAACUCGGGUGAAGGAACUAGGCAAAAUGGUGCCGUAACUUCGGGAGAAGGCACGCUGAUAUGUAGGUGAAGUCCCUCGCGGAUGGAGCUGAAAUCAGUCGAAGAUACCAGCUGGCUGCAACUGUUUAUUAAAAACACAGCACUGUGCAAACACGAAAGUGGACGUAUACGGUGUGACGCCUGCCCGGUGCCGGAAGGUUAAUUGAUGGGGUCAGCGCAAGCGAAGCUCUUGAUCGAAGCCCCGGUAAACGGCGGCCGUAACUAUAACGGUCCUAAGGUAGCGAAAUUCCUUGUCGGGUAAGUUCCGACCUGCACGAAUGGCGUAAUGAUGGCCAGGCUGUCUCCACCCGAGACUCAGUGAAAUUGAACUCGCUGUGAAGAUGCAGUGUACCCGCGGCAAGACGGAAAGACCCCGUGAACCUUUACUAUAGCUUGACACUGAACAUUGAGCCUUGAUGUGUAGGAUAGGUGGGAGGCUUUGAAGUGUGGACGCCAGUCUGCAUGGAGCCGACCUUGAAAUACCACCCUUUAAUGUUUGAUGUUCUAACGUUGACCCGUAAUCCGGGUUGCGGACAGUGUCUGGUGGGUAGUUUGACUGGGGCGGUCUCCUCCUAAAGAGUAACGGAGGAGCACGAAGGUUGGCUAAUCCUGGUCGGACAUCAGGAGGUUAGUGCAAUGGCAUAAGCCAGCUUGACUGCGAGCGUGACGGCGCGAGCAGGUGCGAAAGCAGGUCAUAGUGAUCCGGUGGUUCUGAAUGGAAGGGCCAUCGCUCAACGGAUAAAAGGUACUCCGGGGAUAACAGGCUGAUACCGCCCAAGAGUUCAUAUCGACGGCGGUGUUUGGCACCUCGAUGUCGGCUCAUCACAUCCUGGGGCUGAAGUAGGUCCCAAGGGUAUGGCUGUUCGCCAUUUAAAGUGGUACGCGAGCUGGGUUUAGAACGUCGUGAGACAGUUCGGUCCCUAUCUGCCGUGGGCGCUGGAGAACUGAGGGGGGCUGCUCCUAGUACGAGAGGACCGGAGUGGACGCAUCACUGGUGUUCGGGUUGUCAUGCCAAUGGCACUGCCCGGUAGCUAAAUGCGGAAGAGAUAAGUGCUGAAAGCAUCUAAGCACGAAACUUGCCCCGAGAUGAGUUCUCCCUGACUCCUUGAGAGUCCUGAAGGAACGUUGAAGACGACGACGUUGAUAGGCCGGGUGUGUAAGCGCAGCGAUGCGUUGAGCUAACCGGUACUAAUGAACCGUGAGGCUUAACC
RNAcentral lists this ribosomal RNA (2895 nucleotides) under Escherichia coli. RNAcentral's name for it is "bacterial LSU rRNA". It matches the Rfam family "Bacterial large subunit ribosomal RNA". Lineage: Bacteria; Pseudomonadati; Pseudomonadota; Gammaproteobacteria; Enterobacterales; Enterobacteriaceae. The record is from RNAcentral.